Molecule: ribosomal RNA, 528 nt
Filed under: Triticum aestivum (bread wheat)
Lineage: Eukaryota; Viridiplantae; Streptophyta; Magnoliopsida; Poales; Poaceae
Description: partial small subunit ribosomal RNA
Source: RNAcentral
AUGGAAAGAUCAAGCCAAGCCAUAUUAGCUACGGCCCUCAACUUUGUUCGAGCAACAACACCUAAGUUUGUCCUGUCAAGAACUAACAGAUGGGUGAGGCCAUUGAAUGGCCAACUGGUCCUAAAUACAGAUGCUUCUUUUUUGGAGGAUCAUACAGGUUCUUGCGGUGCUGUGAUAAGAGACCACUUUGGUUUUUUCGUUGCGACAUCCACAGAAAAACUAGAUCAUGUGGGCGAUGUUGAAUCGGCUGAGGCGGCUGCGCUCUUGGAGGGACUAAAGCUUACCCGCUCUAUUGGGGCACAUACCCUCGUUGCUCGGGCGGAUAAUAUGUCAGUGGUGGAGGCGAUGGCAAAUAAUUAUGAACAGUUGAUGGUGGCAGGACCCAUACUUGAUGAAUGUCAUUUUCUGCGUUUAGAGUUUGGGGAGGUCUUUUUUCAGCAUUGUAACAGAGAAUCCAAUAGGGUUGCUCAUAGGCUAGCUCAACAAGGACGGGAUGAUCCACCAGCUUCGUGGUUGGACGCCCCCUAG